GGCGUAAGGGUUUGUAGGCAGCUUUAAUAAAUUAAAGAUUGAAUCAAAUAGAAGUCAAGAGAAUUCCUAGAUUAGGGUUGAUAUCUGUAUAAACUAGGAAGAAUUCUAAUUAGCGAAGGCACUUUUCUAUCUAAUGAUUGACGCUGAGACACGAAGGGGAGGAUCGACAAUAGGAUUAGAUACCCUGGCAUCCCUCUCUGUAAACGAUGAAUGGUAGUUGCUAAUCAGAAUAAUUAGUGACGAGGCUAACGCGUUAACCAUUCCGCCUUGUGAGUACGACUGCAAAGUUGAAAACAAAAAAAUUAGUCGGUUUCGGAGCAAACGAAGUGAAGCAUGUUAUUUAAUUCGAUAAUCCGC
Molecule: ribosomal RNA, 357 nt
Filed under: Hysterangium sp. MEL2078287
Lineage: Eukaryota; Fungi; Basidiomycota; Agaricomycetes; Hysterangiales; Hysterangiaceae
Description: SSU rRNA
Rfam family: Bacterial small subunit ribosomal RNA
Source: RNAcentral